Molecule: ribosomal RNA, 534 nt
Filed under: uncultured bacterium
Lineage: Bacteria
Description: partial 16S ribosomal RNA
Source: RNAcentral
GUAGUUAGCCGGGGCUUUCUUACAGGGUACCGUCACUUCUUCGUCCCCUGCGACAGAGGUUUACAAUCCGAAAACCUUCUUCCCUCACGCGGCGUUGCUGGGUCAGGCUUGCGCCCAUUGCCCAAUAUUCCCCACUGCUGCCUCCCGUAGGAGUCUGGACCGUGUCUCAGUUCCAGUGUGGCCGAUCAGCCUCUCAGCUCGGCUACCCAUCGUCGGCUUGGUGGGCUGUUAUCUCACCAACUACCUAAUGGGACGCGAACCCCUCUAAAAGCGAUAAAUCUUUGACCUCUUCCCGAUGCCGGGUUGUGGUCUUAUGCGGUAUUAGCAGUUGUUUCCACCUGUUAUUCCCCACUCUUAGGCAGGUUGUUCACGCGUUACUCACCCGUGCGCCACUAGAAUUAUCAAUUCCAUCCGAAAACUUCCUUAAUAAUCCCCGUUCGACUUGCAUGUGUUAGUCGACGCCGCCACGCGUCGUCUCGAGCACUAAUACUAACUACUACGUACUAGAGCGGCGUGGCGACGGACGGCGACUAG